AUGAACGCUGGCGGCGUGCCUCAUACAUGCCAGUCGCGCGAACAGACGAGGAGCUUGCUCCUCUGACGUUAGCGGCGGACGGGUAAGUAACACGUGGAUAACCUACCUAUAAGACUGGGAUAACUUCGGGAAACCGGAGCUAAUACCGGAUAAUAUAUUGAACCGCAUGGUUCAAUAGUGAAAGACGGUUUUGCUGUCACUUAUAGAUGGAUCCGCGCCGCAUUAGCUAGUUGGUAAGGUAACGGCUUACCAAGGCAACGAUGCGUAGCCGACCUGAGAGGGUGAUCGGCCACACUGGAACUGAGACACGGUCCAGACUCCUACGGGAGGCAGCAGUAGGGAAUCUUCCGCAAUGGGCGAAAGCCUGACGGAGCAACGCCGCGUGAGUGAUGAAGGUCUUCGGAUCGUAAAACUCUGUUAUUAGGGAAGAACAAAUGUGUAAGUAACUAUGCACGUCUUGACGGUACCUAAUCAGAAAGCCACAGCUAACUACGUG
This 496-nucleotide ribosomal RNA is filed under the name uncultured bacterium. Its description in RNAcentral is "partial 16S ribosomal RNA". It matches the Rfam family "Bacterial small subunit ribosomal RNA", at positions 29 to 507 of the family's 1533-position model. The record is from RNAcentral.